Oryctolagus cuniculus (rabbit) is the source of this 1355-nucleotide long non-coding RNA. RefSeq lists it as uncharacterized. NCBI's taxonomy places the organism in Eukaryota, Metazoa, Chordata, Mammalia, Lagomorpha, Leporidae. The record is from RefSeq and is a predicted model, not a curated record.
CCCAAGGUUGCUCAUUCCAUGGUGGCCUCUGAGAGACAGGAGGUGCCACUGUUCAACACUCCUUCCAACAAUCCCAGGACAGAACUAUCAGUGCCAAACAGAAGCUGGCCUCAUUCCACCCAGUUUUGCUUCCCUCCUCUAUACACUGGAGUGACAGGUGGAGGUCAAAGACAAGAGAAGCAGGGCAGGAAACGGUGGAUCUGGAAGGAGCUGGGCUGACACUGACUCUUGGCUUCUGAAGCAAAGGCAAGGACACAAACAACCAAAAUUGAAAACCAAAAUCCGUGGAAGAAUUGGAGAGAAAUGAGGCCUGAGGAGAUUAGGUGCCUGUACCAAAUAGGAGCCAGGUCAGGGAGUGUGGUGCACUGAUCAAAACUAGGAACCCUGGAGUCAGGUGCCUCAGUUCGAAUCCUGCUCCUGAGGCCCACCAGAUCUUGGGCAAGUUGUUUGACCUCGUCCAGUUGCAAUUUCCUCCUCUGUAAAAUGGAGCUCCUCACUUAAGAACAGGAUGGUGUGAGAUGUCAGGAUAUUUCAGGAAACCAAGCCACCUGCAAGAAGACAAUUAUAGCUCCAAGGAGAGAUGAGCCCUGCCCUUCAGUCAUUAAGGAUUUUUGGAUGAAACAUCUAUCUUCAGGGAGCCUGGAUGACUUACUGGGUAAGCCAGAGGGAUAAUGGUAGGAAUAACCAUGGAAAUGGAGGAUGCCACCUUUCUUGGUGUAUGGAAUGGGGGAAAUGGGAACAACUUUCCUAUGCUACCACUCUUCUGCACUUAUCUCUCACUAGUUGGCAAUCUGGUUUAUGGGAUUUAACAUUAAGAUGAAGUUUCAAAAAUUAGACUCUGAUUUAUUGUUACAGAUUGGAAUGAUUAUUCUCUUCAGUAAAAUUAUUUUUUCCUAAUUAAAAUAUAUUUAGAAGGAUAAUACAUUUUAUAUUGGAAUACAUUAAAAACAAUUUCAGUAGUUUGGCUUCUUUGAAUUAGCUAUAUAUUAAAAUAUGAAGUUAAUAAGCAAUAUAUAGGCCGGAACUGCGGCUCAAUAGGCUAAUCCUCCGCCUUGCGGCGCCGGCACACCAGGUUCUAGUCCUGGUCAGAGCACUGGAUUCUGUCCUGGUUGCCCCUCUUCCAGGCCAGCUCUCUGCUGUGGCCCGGGAAGGCAAUGGAGGAUGGCCCAAGUACUUGGGCCCUGCACCCCAUGGGAGACCAGGAGAAGCACCUGGCUCCUGCCUUCAGAUCAGCGUGGUGCGCCGGCCGCAGUGCGCCAGCCGUGGCGGCCAUUGGAGGGUGAACCAACAGCAAAAGGAAGACCUUUCUCUCUGUCUCUCUCUCUCUCACUAUCCACUCUGCCUGUCAAAAAAAA